Molecule: ribosomal RNA, 468 nt
Filed under: uncultured bacterium
Lineage: Bacteria
Description: partial 16S ribosomal RNA
Rfam family: Bacterial small subunit ribosomal RNA
Source: RNAcentral
GACGAACGCUGGCGGCGUGCUUAACACAUGCAAGUCGAACGGGAAGGCCCUGCUUUUGUGGGGUGCUCGAGUGGCGAACGGGUGAGUAACACGUGAGUAACCUGCCCUUGACUUUGGGAUAACUUCAGGAAACUGGGGCUAAUACCGGAUAGGAGCUCCUGCUGCAUGGUGGGGGUUGGAAAGUUUCGGCGGUUGGGGAUGGACUCGCGGCUUAUCAGCUUGUUGGUGGGGUAGUGGCUUACCAAGGCUUUGACGGGUAGCCGGCCUGAGAGGGUGACCGGCCACAUUGGGACUGAGAUGCGGCCCAGACUCCUACGGGAGGCAGCAGUGGGGAAUAUUGCACAAUGGGCGGAAGCCUGAUGCAGCAACGCCGCGUGCGGGAUGACGGCCUUCGGGUUGUAAACCGCUUUCGCCUGUGACGAAGCGUGAGUGACGGUAAUGGGUAAAGAAGCACCGGCUAACUACGUG